GAUGAAGAACGUAGCGAAAUGCGAUAAGUAAUGUGAAUUGCAGAAUUCAGUGAAUCAUCGAAUCUUUGAACGCACAUUGCGCCCGCCAGUAUUCUGGCGGGCAUGCCUGUCCGAGCGUCAUUUCAACCCUCGAACCCCUCCGGGGGGUCGGCGUUGGGGACCUCGGGAGCCCCUAAGACGGGAUCCCGGCCCCGAAAUACAGUGGCGGUCUCGCCGCAGCCUCUCCUGCGCAGUAGUUUGCACAACUCGCACCGGGAGCGCGGCGCGUCCACGUCCGUAAAACACCCAACUUCUGAAAUGUUGACCUCGGAUCAGGUAGGAAUACCCGCUGAACUUAAGCAUAUCACUAAGCGGAGGA
This 358-nucleotide unclassified non-coding RNA is filed under the name soil metagenome. RNAcentral describes it as "partial contains 5.8S ribosomal RNA, internal transcribed spacer 2, and large subunit ribosomal RNA". The stretch from base 1 to 120 matches the Rfam family "5.8S ribosomal RNA", at positions 35 to 154 of the family's 154-position model. The record is from RNAcentral.